RNAcentral lists this ribosomal RNA (776 nucleotides) under uncultured Neocallimastigales. RNAcentral's name for it is "partial large subunit ribosomal RNA". It matches the Rfam family "Eukaryotic large subunit ribosomal RNA", at positions 23 to 649 of the family's 3401-position model. Lineage: Eukaryota; Fungi; Neocallimastigomycota; Neocallimastigomycetes; Neocallimastigales. The record is from RNAcentral.
UAUGUGAUCGUCUCUUGCAUAUCAAUAAGCGGAGGAAAAGAAACUAACAAGGAUUCCCCUAGUAACGGCGAGUGAAGCGGGAAGAGCUCAAAUUUGAAAUCUUAAAGGGUUUCCCUUUACGAAUUGUAGUUUAAAGAAGUGUUUUCUGUUGAGGUUUUGGUAAAAGUUCUUUGGAAUAGGACAUCAUAGAGGGUGAGAAUCCCGUAUUUGACCUUUACUUUCAACUUUGUGAUACACUUUCAAAGAGUCGGAUUGUUUGGGAAUGCAGUCCAAAAUGGGUGGUAAAUUUCAUCUAAAGCUAAAUACUUGGCGAGAGACCGAUAGCGAACAAGUACCGUGAGGGAAAGAUGAAAAGAACUUUGAAAAGAGAGUUAAACAGUACGUGAAAUUGUCAAAAGGGAAGCGUUUGACACCAGUGUUGUUUUUCUGAAAAUCAAUUAAAGAACUGUUUAUGCUAAGUUGUUUAGACUUUAUCAGCUAACUGUUUAGUUUUGAGCUUUUCUUUAAUGCACUUUUCAGUUAACAAGUCAACAUCAAUUUCUUUUGCUGUAAAAAAGCUUGAGGAAGGUGGCUUGAGAUUCGUCUUAAGUGUUUAUAGCCUCUUGCCUAUGCAGUCGGAGAGAUUGAGGUCUGCAGCGUAGAUCCUUCGGGGCUAAAUGCAUUUGUGCUAAGUUAUAAGCAUUUUAUAGACAACUUGUUGACUAUGAUUUGUCUUGUAGCUUACUCGCUUAUGUUAUUUUACCUACGCUUAGGAUGUUGAGUAGCGACAUACGCAC